RNAcentral lists this ribosomal RNA (301 nucleotides) under uncultured bacterium. RNAcentral describes it as "partial 16S ribosomal RNA". It matches the Rfam family "Bacterial small subunit ribosomal RNA", at positions 509 to 809 of the family's 1533-position model. The record is from RNAcentral.
CAGUAGCCGCGGUAAUACGAAGGGGGCUAGCGUUGUUCGGAAUUACUGGGCGUAAAGCGCACGUAGGCGGAUAUUUAAGUCAGGGGUGAAAUCCCGCAGCUCAACUGCGGAGCUGCCUUUGAUACUGGGUAUCUUGAGUAUGGAAGAGGUUAGUGGAAUUGCGAGUGUAGAGGUGAAAUUCGUAGAUAUUCGCAGGAACACCAGUGGCGAAGGCGGCUAACUGGUCCAUAACUGACGCUGAGGUGCGAAAGCGUGGGGAGCAAACAGGAUUAGAUACCCCCGUAGUCCCUGUCUCUUAUAU